CGCGCGCACCGCGCAGCAACGCGCACGCGCAUUGGGCGCUCAGCGGCGGCCCCUGGGAGUGACGUCACGCGCCAUGCGCUGAAGGGCCUUCCCUGUGUCACGUCUAACCAGCGCCCGGCUAGCUCAGUCGGUAGAGCAUGGGACUCUUAAUCCCAGGGUCGUGGGUUCGAGCCCCACGUUGGGCGCAUUAGUUUUGUGCCCUCUCCGCCGAUUCCCUUUCGGAGUGCUCCCGGCGGGAAACCGCCCGCUUCACGUUGGGCGCAGCAGUUUUGUGCCCCUCACCCGUUUGGAGGCAUCCCGGCGGGAAAACGCCGCCCCACCAUCCCUGAGGGGGAUCCACCGCCCGCUCCGCCUUGGGCCUAGCGCUUUUGUGCCCCUCGCUCUUUAGGAGCGCUCCCGUCGGGAAACUGCUGCCUCACCACCCUCUCCCAACAUCCCUGAGGGGGAUUCACAGCCUGCUCCAGGACUCAGCUGGAGCUGUUUGCAGUUGGCUAGCACCCAUCUUAUGGAAUGGCAUCCAGUCCAGAAACAAGAACUUUAGAGGAAAAUCCUCCAGUUACUGCAGGGGUCCCAGGACUCUGCGCUUCAGCUCAGCAGUAACACAGGAGUCAGGAAUUCUGGUCCUGCCAGAAACAGCAGCUGUUGGAGCUGUUCAGUGAUGCAGAAACCCCACAGGAGAGGCUUUGUGUGGGCAGAACGAAGACAAGGUCGCAGAACACGCCAGGAGAGUUCCAGGGUACAUGUGCACAGCAGCACAGGAAUAUCCUGAAAAAGGCUAAGAAUAUCCUGAAUUUCCUCAGCUGCAGUCUGCUGCAGUUCUGGAAAAUGACAUCAUUGCACCACCACGACCACGGGCUCCAUAGGAGUUUCAUCCUUCCCUCUGAGAACCUUACGGACACGAGUAAUCCCUCCCAGCUCCACAGGGUUUGUGCUGAUGGAAAACUCUCCUCUCGGGAGCAAGCCUUGCUAAGCUCUGGCUCAGUUCUUACUGAGGUAAAACAUGACCUGGGUCACAGAGGUGCAGCCCAAAUUAUCCAAAUUAUAACAGAAAAUGAGCAGCAGAGCCUGGCCCUGUGUGUUCUGUACACCUGAGGCUGACUCUGCGCCUGGCACUGGGACAGCGCCCAUUUAUCCAGACUGGAAUUCCAUGAGAACAUGGUCUCUGAAAACCAACCUCAUCCCAGGACUAUAAAACAACUUCUCACAGCUACACCUGGUUUUCCAUGCUUUCUCUGUAACAGCCAUGCAGCUCAUCCAAAGUGGGAACAAGGGAAUUCAAAAACACAGCUUCUGCCAGUACCUCUGGGGAGAAAUCACUGGCAGAACUCUGAGACCUCUGUCACCAACCAGCAAAGUCUCACCUAACACAGACUCUAACACUUGAAACAGCAGUUCCUGGGUUUUGUGGCUUUUUUCAUUUGAAAACCAUUAAAUUAAAAGGGAGCAUCUCCUCCCAUGUGCCAACUAACACCAUGUGUUAAGGCAAAGCACGUAUGAAACAGAACGGCAAGUGAGCCAGGGAGUCAACUUUGCCCUCACACCCCUGUUUACAAUUAAUCUGCAAUAAUUUAUUACAAUUUAUAAUUCUGAAAUCUUUCUUGGAGGAGAGAUACUGGAAGAGUUUUCAGCUCAGCAUUACAUCAGAACUACAGGCACACGAGUUCUCUGCUAAAACUCUCAAAACAGGACGGUGUCCAGGGGAAAUAAUGUCCCACCACCUCUGCUGAACAGCCCCAAACCAUUUCCUCACAGGUGAUUCGAGGGUGGAAUAUUUUCAUGCAGGACUUGGCAGAAAAAAAACCUUCCAUACAUAUUUUUCUCCCAUGGAUAUUUCCCCUCCUUCUUCUAAGCAUAUUUAAAAUUAAAAUCUCUCAAAACAAAUUCUCUCAGCAGUGCCAUUUACUAUACAGAUAAAUAACAAACAACUCAGGAGGGUAUGACUCAUGACAGUGCAGAAUUUCUUCAGAACAAGACAAAAAAACACAGGAGUUGCCAGAAUGAAGUUCUUAAACUACAACUGGACAUGUUUUUAAAUAGUGUUAGUGCCUACACUCCCUGAAAACAUCCAGGUUGCUGAUAUUUAAUAGUGUUACACACAAAGUACUUCAUAAAAAAACGAAACCCAAAGCACAUGUAUCUGAAACGGUGCAGAAUCCUUGUGUAACGUGCAGGUGCUUAUUUCUCUGUAGAAAAAGCCCUUUUCAUCAGUGGUGGGGGUGCUUUUCCAACGUCAAACAUCAUUUCCAGAGGAGGAUUGUUCAGGCAGCACCAGUCGGGGAUGCGGCCUGUCUGGCUGUAAUAUUCCUUGGACACGGAUCGGCUCCCAAGGAUGUCC
Pseudopipra pipra is the source of this 2335-nucleotide long non-coding RNA. RefSeq lists it as uncharacterized. The record is from RefSeq and is a predicted model, not a curated record. NCBI's taxonomy places the organism in Eukaryota, Metazoa, Chordata, Aves, Passeriformes, Pipridae. The transcript has 3 exons.